CCUUAGGCAAAUCCGGGAUCACUUACGCCGAGCACCGAGACGAGUCCUAUGAGGACGAAGUGACUGACACCACGCUUCCAGGAAAAGCCACUAAGCUUCAGCUUAAGAAAAACCGUACCGCAAACCGACACAGGUAGGCAGGGUGAGAAUCCCAAGGCGCUUGAGAGAACUCGGGUGAAGGAACUAGGCAAAAUGGCACCGUAACUUCGGGAGAAGGUGCGCCCUUUGGUGUGGUCACGUGCGUGACUGAGCAUCGAAGGGUCGCAGUAACCUGGCCGCUGCGACUGUUUAUCAAAAACACAGCACUCUGCAAACACGAAAGUGGACGUAUAGGGUGUGACGCCUGCCCGGUGCUGGAAGGUUAAUUGAUGGGGCCAGCCGCAAGGCGAAGCUCUUGAUCGAAGCCCCAGUAAACGGCGGCCGUAACAAUAACGGUCCUAAGGUAGCGAAAUUCCUUGUCGGGUAAGUUCCGACCUGCACGAAUGGCGUAACGACAGCGGCGCUGUCUCCACCCGAGACUCAGUGAAAUUGAAAUUGCUGUGAAGAUGCAGCGUUCCCGCGGCAAGACGGAAAGACCCCGUGAACCUUUACUAUAGCUUUACACUGAACGUUGAGUUCUUCUGUGUAGGAUAGGUGGGAGGCUAUGAAACCAGGACGCUAGUUCUGGUGGAGCCAUCCUUGAAAUACCACCCUGAAGUGCUUGACGUUCUAACCUAGGCCCGUAAUCCGGGUCAGGGACCGUGUAUGGUGGGUAGUUUGACUGGGGCGGUCUCCUCCCAAAGAGUAACGGAGGAGCACGAAGGUACGCUCAGCGCGGUCGGACAUCGCGCACUGUGUGCAAAGGCAUAAGCGUGCUUGACUGCGAGAUCGACGGAUCAAGCAGGUACGAAAGUAGGUCUUAGUGAUCCGGUGGUUCUGUAUGGAAGGGCCAUCGCUCAACGGAUAAAAGGUACUCCGGGGAUAACAGGCUGAUACCGCCCAAGAGUUCAUAUCGACGGCGGUGUUUGGCACCUCGAUGUCGGCUCAUCACAUCCUGGGGCUGUAGCCGGUCCCAAGGGUAUGGCUGUUCGCCAUUUAAAGUGGUACGCGAGCUGGGUUCAGAACGUCGUGAGACAGUUCGGUCCCUAUCUGUCGUGGGCGUUGGAGAUUUGAGGGGGGCUGCUCCUAGUACGAGAGGACCGGAGUGGACGUUCCGCUGGUGUUCGGGUUGUCAUGCCCAUGGCAUUGCCCGGUAGCUACGAACGGAAGUGAUAACCGCUGAAAGCAUCUAAGCGGGAAGCACGCCCCAAGAUGAGAUCUCCCGAGAGCG
Molecule: ribosomal RNA, 1309 nt
Filed under: metagenome
Description: bacterial LSU rRNA
Rfam family: Bacterial large subunit ribosomal RNA
Source: RNAcentral